GACGAACGCUGGCGGCGCGCUUAACACAUGCAAGUCGAACGGAAAGGCCCUGCUUUUGUGGGGUGCUCGAGUGGCGAACGGGUGAGUAACACGUGAGUAACCUGCCCUUGACUUUGGGAUAACUUCAGGAAACUGGGGCUAAUACCGGAUAGGAGCUCCUGCUGCAUGGUGGGGGUUGGAAAGUUUCGGCGGUUGGGGAUGGACUCGCGGCUUAUCAGCUUGUUGGUGGGGUAGUGGCUUACCAAGGCUUUGACGGGUAGCCGGCCUGAGAGGGUGACCGGCCACAUUGGGACUGAGAUACGGCCCAGACUCCUACGGGAGGCAGCAGUGGGGAAUAUUGCACAAUGGGCGGAAGCCUGAUGCAGCAACGCCGCGUGCGGAAUGACGGCCUUCGGGUUGUAAACCGCUUUCGCCUGUGACGAAGCGUGAGUGACGGUAAUGGGUAAAGAAGCACCGGCUAACUACGUG
Molecule: ribosomal RNA, 468 nt
Filed under: uncultured bacterium
Lineage: Bacteria
Description: partial 16S ribosomal RNA
Rfam family: Bacterial small subunit ribosomal RNA
Source: RNAcentral